RNAcentral lists this ribosomal RNA (582 nucleotides) under uncultured organism. RNAcentral describes it as "bacterial SSU rRNA". It matches the Rfam family "Bacterial small subunit ribosomal RNA", at positions 475 to 1056 of the family's 1533-position model. The record is from RNAcentral.
GUAUAUUAUGAAUAAGGUCCGGCUAACUACGUGCCAGCAGCCGCGGUAAAACGUAGGGACCUAGCGUUGUUCGGAAUUACUGGGCGUAAAGGGUAUGCAGGCUGUUAUAUAAGUCAGAUGUGAAAGACCCGGGCUCAACCUUGGAAUUGCGUCUGAUACUGUAUAACUUGGGUAGCUGAGAGGAAGUCGGAAUUCCUGGUGUAGGGGUGAAAUCUAUAGAUAUCAGGAAGAACACCAGUAGCGUAGCCGGACUUCUGGCAGCUUACCGACGCUGAGGUACGAAAGGUAGGGUAGCAAACAGGAUUAGAGACCCUGGUAGUCAUACCUGUAAACGUUGUAUACUAGGUGGUGGAAGCUUAAUAUCUUUCUCUGCCGGAGUUAACGCAUUAAGUAUACCGCCUGGGGAGUAUGCCGGCAACGGUGAAACUCAAAGGAAUUGACGGGGCCCCGCACAAGCAGUGGAGCAUGUUGAUUAAUUCGAUGAUACGCGAGGAACCUUACCAGCUCUUGACAUAUAUCUGACGCACAUAGAGAUAUGUGUUCUCUUUUGAGCAGAUAUACAGGUGAUGCAUGGUCGUCGUC